Molecule: transfer RNA, 71 nt
Filed under: Phrynosoma platyrhinos (Desert horned lizard)
Lineage: Eukaryota; Metazoa; Chordata; Lepidosauria; Squamata; Phrynosomatidae
Description: tRNA-OTHER
Source: RNAcentral
GCCAGCAUGGUGUAAUGGUUUGAGUGUUGGACUAUGACUCUAGAGAGCAGAGUUCAAAUCUCAGCUUGGCC